RNAcentral lists this ribosomal RNA (460 nucleotides) under uncultured bacterium. RNAcentral's name for it is "partial 16S ribosomal RNA". It matches the Rfam family "Bacterial small subunit ribosomal RNA", at positions 338 to 795 of the family's 1533-position model. The record is from RNAcentral.
CCUACGGGGGGCAGCAGUGAGGAAUAUUGGUCAAUGGCCGGAAGGCUGAACCAGCCAUGCCGCGUGAAGGUCAGUGCCCUAUGGGCGUUAAACUUCUUUUGUGCGGGAGCAAUAAUGGUCACGUGUGGCCAGACGACAGUACCGUACGAAUAAGCAUCGGCUAACCCCGGUCCAGCAGCCGGGGGAAUACGGGGGAUGCAAGCGUUUUCCGGAUUUUUUGGGGUUAAAGGGGACGUAGGCUGUGAGGUAAGUCAGCGGUGAAAUGCCCCCGCUCAACGGGGUGAAGUGCCAUUGAUACUGGCUUGCUGGAAUGCGGAUGCCGUGGGAGGAAUGUGUGGUGUAGCGGUGAAAUGCAUAGAUAUCACACAGAACACCGAUUGCGAAGGCAGCUCACGAAUCCGCGAUUGACGCUGAUGCACGAAAGCGUGGGUAUCAAACAGGAUUAGAUACCCGAGUAGUC